RNAcentral lists this ribosomal RNA (425 nucleotides) under uncultured bacterium. RNAcentral's name for it is "partial 16S ribosomal RNA". It matches the Rfam family "Bacterial small subunit ribosomal RNA", at positions 354 to 796 of the family's 1533-position model. The record is from RNAcentral.
GUGGGGAAUCUUGCGCAAUGGGCGAAAGCCUGACGCAGCCAUGCCGCGUGAAUGAUGAAGGUCUUAGGAUUGUAAAAUUCUUUCACCGGGGACGAUAAUGACGGUACCCGGAGAAGAAGCUCCGGCUAACUUCGUGCCAGCAGCCGCGGUAAUACGAAGGGGGCUAGCGUUGCUCGGAAUUACUGGGCGUAAAGGGCGCGUAGGCGGACAGCUUAGUCAGAGGUGAAAGCCCAGGGCUCAACCUUGGAAUUGCCUUUGAUACUGGCUGUCUUGAGUUUGGGAGAGGUGAGCGGAACUCCGAGUGUAGAGGUGAAAUUCGUAGAUAUUCGGAAGAACACCAGUGGCGAAGGCGACUCACUGGCCCAAUACUGACGCUGAGGCGCGAAAGCGUGGGGAGCAAACAGGAUUAGAUACCCCAGUAGUCC